Molecule: long non-coding RNA, 1013 nt
Organism: Aethalodelphis obliquidens (Pacific white-sided dolphin)
Lineage: Eukaryota; Metazoa; Chordata; Mammalia; Artiodactyla; Delphinidae
Exons: 3
Source: RefSeq, a predicted model, not a curated record
UUGGAGGGUUCCUCCUGGCUCCCUCUGCGUGGAGUCCCCUGCCAGGGGUGUUGGGGACACUUGGCUCUGUCCUCAACGCUGUGACACCUGGACUCUGCAGUUUGUGCCAAGAUAGAAAACGGGUGGAAUGUUCCUGAGACGAAACCCCUCAUCCCACUGUCCAGUGGUUCCCAGACCACACUGAGUGGGUCAGAAAGCUGUCCGUCUCCUGGUCAUAAUACCCCUCACGGGCUGGAGAUAGAUUGUGCCCUCAAUUUGUCUUAGGUGGGAAGUGGAGCACAUAGAACUCUCUGAGGCCUUACGGCAGACAAGCAGGGGCAGCCAGACAAGGGCCUUGGGUGGUCUGAGCCCGGAUGUUCUAGCAGGGCGCCUGGUGCAGUCCACACGCGUGUUUUGCGGCUGACUCAGAGAGGGAAGGCAGUGGCGGGAAACACACACAGCGGCAGAUUCCUUCCCCGUCGUCAGGCACCGGCCCCGGCUCCGACCCCGACCCCGCAAGGCUGGACGCCUGCUAGGCUGGUGACUGACGUGGCCCCAGGCAGGGAGGGGACAUCAGGGCCAGAGAAGCCCAGGUCCAGAGGGAAGAGGCCUCAAGAAAAAUGCAGAGCAUCAAAACCAUGAUUGCAGGGAUUUUAGCCCUACGGCCAAGACUGAGUCAGCAGCGAUGUCAGCCCUGAGCUGACUGAAGGAAAACUAGGAAAUGAGAACACGUCUUGGACCUGCCGAGACCUUGCUGUGGACCAUGAAUGACGGAAGAGUGGGCAGCAUGGAGCUGGCCGGGCUCUGCAGGCUGUUUCUGGAAAGGGCCAGGGAGUAAAUAGUUUAGGUGCUGUGGCCACUCGGUCCCUGUUGCAACCGCUCGGCUCUGCCCUUGUACUGUGAAAGCCGCCGUGGACGACAGGCAAAUGAGUGGUCGUGGCCUCGUGCCAAUAAAACUUUAUUUGUGGGCCCUGAGAUGUGAGUUUUGUAUAAUUUCCACAUGUUGUAAAAUCAUCCCUUCUUCUUCUCCUUCU